RNAcentral lists this transfer RNA (68 nucleotides) under Aulacochilus grouvellei. RNAcentral's name for it is "tRNA-Trp". Lineage: Eukaryota; Metazoa; Arthropoda; Insecta; Coleoptera; Erotylidae. The record is from RNAcentral.
AAGGAUUUAAGUUAAAUAUUAAACUAAUAACCUUCAAAGUUAUAAAUAGGUUACUAAUCUAACCCUUA